AAAGGUAUUGUCGAGUUCAAUAGAUAAUUCUAUCGACUCGAAAUCCUGAUCAUCCCUUAUGUGCAUUUUUAUUAUGCUUUGGUUGGUCGAAAGACUUACCAAAAGUUUAUCUUACUGCCUUAUUUUUUGUCUGAAGAAAUAAAUAUAAUUUGAAAUA
This 157-nucleotide unclassified non-coding RNA is filed under the name soil metagenome. RNAcentral's name for it is "partial internal transcribed spacer 1". The record is from RNAcentral.